Molecule: ribosomal RNA, 253 nt
Filed under: uncultured bacterium
Lineage: Bacteria
Description: partial 16S ribosomal RNA
Rfam family: Bacterial small subunit ribosomal RNA
Source: RNAcentral
UACGGAGGGUGCAAGCGUUAUCCGGAUUCACUGGGUUUAAAGGGUGCGUAGGUGGGUUGGUAAGUCAGUGGUGAAAUCUCCGAGCUUAACUUGGAAACUGCCAUUGAUACUAUUAGUCUUGAAUAUUGUGGAGGUCAGCGGAAUAUGUCAUGUAGCGGUGAAAUGCUUAGAGAUGACAUAGAACACCAAUUGCGAAGGCAGCUCGCUAAACUGACAUUGACGCUGAGGCACGAAAGCGUGGGGAGCAAACAGG